UUUUCUAAAAGAAAACUGAAAGGAUGUCAUUAAUAAAAUAAACAAUUACAUGACUACAUGUAGAACACGUGUAGCCUAACAGCUUCCCCCAAACCGUCGGUGACACCCCGUAAAAAAAAAAAAUAAAAGCAGAAUACAACUUUCUAGAUGCCUAAAAAACUGAACAGACGCAUUAAAAACAACAGUAGCCGUCGAGAAACCUUAGAAUGGCUGCCUGAAAAACAAAGAAACAAACCAAACAAAUCAGAAAAAAAUUGUAGCCUAAACUGAUUGGCAUUCCUCUCCGUCUCUUCUAUUACCAUCGUUUAUCUCCAAAAGAACAUUAUUGUUAACGUCCAACGAUGGAUCCUUAAAGAACCUGAAAUCGUCGGAAUCCGCAAAAAUCCCUUUCCUCCAACCCAUUUCAUCCUCAAAACAGAGCCCUUCUAUCUUCUUCGUCCACCGCUUCAACUCUUGAAGGUGCCUCCUUAACCCAAAUCAUCGCCGAUGGCCAUUGAUUUCCUUCCUUCGCCAUCGUAUGUGCCGCUCUGUUCACCGCUCUGCCCACGAAACGAUAAGAAUUCCCUUCCACCACAAGUCGUCGGAAUCCCAACUCUUCGGCCACCGACACCGCAUGUAAACAAGCCUUCGCCUCAACCGUGGUGGCAUCGGCCACAAAACUAUUUGGGUAAGCACAAGUCGCAAAAUGUGCCCCUCACCAUCUCUAAAGAUUAUCCUAAAUACCGAACUAAACAUGCACUUGUUGAAAGUCGCAUCAAAAUUGCAUUUAACUUCAUUUAUUCUUGGUGGCGUCCAUAUACUAUUCAUCUGGUUCAUAGAUGUUGAAAUCACGGAUUCUGUAAAUGUGCUAUCUGAAUAAUAUGCUUUAAUAAACGUAACCAGACCCACUAUGUUCUGUUUUUCACCCUGAUGAUAUACCUUAUUUCCGUGGUAUCAGACUGCCCAGAACACAAUAGUUAGCCAUUUGCAUUUCUCCUCUCCUGUACAAGAAAAUAUAUUUGCUAACCACAAUUUCCAACUUUGUCCUUGAAUGCUGGGCGAGACAUCCACCCCCACCCCUUGAAGAACACUUUUAAUAAACAUGCAAUCCCGGAAGAUAUGGCUCACCGAUUCCUCUAUUGUACGACAGAGGACAAAUGCGCACCACCUGCAUAUUCCUCACUUGUAAAUUGUCAUAGGGAUAUAGUUAUUAGCAAUUUUCCGUGUUGUAAUUUUUAUUUUGCUUGCAACUUGUAACUUCUAUAAUUUGUUGUAGAAGUUCGGUAAUAGCGUAGCUUGUUGUAACAUUCCCCCCUGCGCUGCUGUAACUUCUUCACUAAGCAGCCAUUUAUAGCCACUUUUGGCCGAAAACACACCUAUACUGUGUCCCCUUCACACUCUUUCAUCAUCAAGAUCAACUUCAGCAACUGGGAUUGUCAAAAUUUUGUUUACCUGCUCCUCGACAAAAAGCUUCCUUAGGACCUCCAACUUACAGGUCUUGGUAACCAGACAUCAUUCCAGAUGUUUAUUGAUUUGCCGUUUCCAACCCUUUAGCCCAUGCCUAGCUCCAGAAGUCUCCUGGCUCCCCAUAUGCUUCUCCAGGUAAAAGAUGGGUGACAUCCUAAACUGGCACUCAUAAAGUCACAAUGUGGAUAAUCCUUUUCUUUCAUGACACGAGCAGACAAACAAUCUGGUUUCAUAAUUAACCGCCAUCCUUGUUUAGCAAGUAUCGCUAUAUUGAACUUGGUUAAUUUCCUAAAUCCCAAUCCCCCUUGUGCUUUCGGCUAGCACAUCCCCCUCCAAUCACACUAAUAAAUUUCCUAUUCUGUUUUAGAA
This is a long non-coding RNA of Gossypium arboreum, 1815 nucleotides long. RefSeq lists it as uncharacterized. The transcript is spliced from 3 exons. Lineage: Eukaryota; Viridiplantae; Streptophyta; Magnoliopsida; Malvales; Malvaceae. The record is from RefSeq and is a predicted model, not a curated record.